This is a non-coding RNA of Gossypium hirsutum (cotton), 106 nucleotides long. The record is from Rfam. Lineage: Eukaryota; Viridiplantae; Streptophyta; Magnoliopsida; Malvales; Malvaceae.
AACUCAUGGUGAGGGCACUUCUAUAUCAUAUAUUUGAAAUUCUCCCACACCUCGUAUAGUGUUUCACUUUCAAACUGCUUAAAAUUGGCGAUAUUGCGUUUAAGUU